RNAcentral lists this ribosomal RNA (400 nucleotides) under uncultured bacterium. Its description in RNAcentral is "bacterial SSU rRNA". It matches the Rfam family "Bacterial small subunit ribosomal RNA", at positions 355 to 769 of the family's 1533-position model. The record is from RNAcentral.
UGGGGAAUAUUGGGCAAUGGGCGCAAGCCUGACCCAGCAACGCCGCGUGAAGGAAGAAGGCUUUCGGGUUGUAAACUUCUUUUAUUAAGGACGAAACAAAUGACGGUACUUAAUGAAUAAGCUCCGGCUAACUACGUGCCAGCAGCCGCGGUAAUACGUAGGGAGCAAGCGUUAUCCGGAUUUACUGGGUGUAAAGGGCGUGUAGGCGGGAAAGCAAGUCAGAUGUGAAACCCAGUGGCUCAACCACUGGCCUGCAUUUGAAACUGUUUUUCUUGAGUGAUGGAGAGGCAGGCGGAAUUCCGUGUGUAGCGGUGAAAUGCGUAGAUAUACGGAGGAACACCAGUGGCGAAGGCGGCCUGCUGGACAUUAACUGACGCUGAGGCGCGAAAGCGUGGGGAGC